UGUUUUUGGUCCCAAGGCUCGCU
RNAcentral lists this small nuclear RNA (23 nucleotides) under Arabidopsis thaliana (thale cress). Its description in RNAcentral is "snRNA_05248". Lineage: Eukaryota; Viridiplantae; Streptophyta; Magnoliopsida; Brassicales; Brassicaceae. The record is from RNAcentral.